This 253-nucleotide ribosomal RNA is filed under the name uncultured bacterium. RNAcentral describes it as "partial 16S ribosomal RNA". It matches the Rfam family "Bacterial small subunit ribosomal RNA", at positions 524 to 776 of the family's 1533-position model. The record is from RNAcentral.
UACGAAGGUCCCAAGCGUUAUCCGGAUUUAUUGGGUUUAAAGGGUGCGUAGGCGGGUUAUUAAGUCAGUGGUGAAAGCUCCAUGCCUAACAUGGAAAUUGCCAUUGAUACUGAUGACCUUGAGUACAUUUGAAGUGGGCGGAAUGUGUCAUGUAGUGGUGAAAUACUUAGAUAUGACACAGAACACCGAUUGCGUAGGCAGCUCACUAAACUGUAACUGACGCUGAGGCACGAAAGCGUGGGGAGCAAACAGG